Long non-coding RNA from Peromyscus californicus insignis, 5774 nucleotides. RefSeq lists it as uncharacterized. NCBI's taxonomy places the organism in Eukaryota, Metazoa, Chordata, Mammalia, Rodentia, Cricetidae. The record is from RefSeq and is a predicted model, not a curated record. The transcript has 5 exons.
UCCACCUUAUUAGUUAGAAGUGAAUCACCAAGUCUAGCCCACAUCCAACAGAAGGAGGGCAUUUCACAGACGCUGAUUGCCAGGGAGGGCCUUCUUCCUGACUGUCUGCCACAGAUGAUUAGAAGGAAGGCUUUAAGGAGCAGAAGGAGCGUCAUACAGUUCUUCAGUCACCCUUGAAAGAAUUAAACUUCCUUUCCUCUACCUGAUGCUGCUGCUGAACUGAGGACCCCACUGGUUGGCCAGGCAUUCCACUCCGUUCCUCUCUCAAGAGGAUCAAAACUGAUAAGCAGUCCACAAUGCAGGAGAGAUCCUACUAGGCUAGUGUCCAGCUGCCUUCUUCUUCCUUUUCAUCAUGUACCUGGGUUGCUCUACCCCAUGUGGGUGGUAAGGAACCAUCCACACCACAUCCCAACCCAUGCUGAGGAUGGAGGAGAAAAAUGUGAGGAGUCCAAACCCCCAUGGCCUUUCUCAUCCAGAAAAAGGAGGUGCUGGCAUCUGCUGGUAAAGCUGGUGUGGAAUAGGAACGUGGCAGCCUCUUUCAGGAAAGAUGGUCUUAUCUUGGUGCUUCAGUCCCUGGUGGGAGAAAUUACACUCUGAAUUCAAUAGUAAAGAGCGGCCAAAGUUCUCCCACAGAGUUGAUGUAUGUCCACCUUGAGAAUCUUGUGAAUGGACUGACCAGACUCCUGUUUAACUGCUCUUGCACAGCUCAAAGCCAAGUAUGUAGCCCAACUGCAACCGAUGUGUGAGCCUAUGUGAGGUGUGUGAGCCUAUGUGAGGUGUGUGAGUCCCUGUGAGGUGUGAGAGUCCAUGUGAGGUGUGUGAGUCCCUGUGAGGUGUGUGAGCCUAUGUGAGAUGUGUGAGUCUAUGUGAGCUGUGUGAGUCCCUGUGAGGUGUGUGAGUCCCUGUGAGGUGUGUGAGUCCAUGUGAGGUGUGUGAGUCCCUGUGAGGUGUGUGAGCCUAUGUGAGCUGUGUGAGUCCGUGCGAGCUGUGUGAGCUGAUGUGAACUGUGUGAUUCCGUAUGAAGUGUUUCUAAGCCUAACUCCUAAUAUUUUGCCUCUUGCUUAAGAAAAACAAAUUCCACUACAGCCAUAUGUAUGCAUGGGAACAAAUCACUAAGGACAGGUGAAGGGCCUAGGGACAGGGGCCUCUUAGCCCUUGCUUUCUUCCUCCACCCUCACAGAGAUUCAGCCUCUUUUAUCUGUUUGUUUUGGGUUCUUGUAGCAGUUCCCUACAUAAAUCUAGAUAAGAGGCUUAACCUCCUUUCCCCAUCUUUCAAUCUCAGAUAACAUGUCUAGACACCUUAAUAUGGGAAAGGGAAGAUUUAGCACCCUUAUUCAAGCUUCUUCCUCCACCGAGUAUUUUAUAUUUAUUAUUUGUAGUUCUAUGAUUCCCACCUUUGAAACUUUAAAUAAUAUAUUAGCCUUCUCAUUAGCAGUUCCAACUCCCUGAUCUUUAAUCAUUUCCACAAUCAUAUGCUGUUGCUUUUUAAAAAAAUGAAAACAGUAGCACAAAUGCCAGAAAGUUGGCGAGGGUGGAUACAAAGCUAAGCAGUCCAAACAUAAGGGAUGGCUGGGUGGACUUCAGACAUCAUGGGAAAGCCUUCGGGUUUCUUACAUGUUUGUCUCGUUUAUAGUUAAACUCCACGUGUGAGCGAGCUAAGAAGGCCGUUUGCAGUGAGUCGCAGCAUCCAGCCAUACCCAGGCGAAUUCCCUUGCAGGACAUCUUGUGCUUGCUUGAAACCUUAAGUUUGAGUUUGUCUUACCUAAAAUUAGAAACAAGGAAGUCUCAAAGAGUGCUUAUAAAAACUGUGACAAAGAACAUCAGGAGCAGGGAGCAGGCGUGGACCCAUUCAGUAUCAGCCAUGCAUCACACUGAGCAGAUGUGGACUCUACAGGAUCCAGCACCAGCCACGCACCACCCUGAGCUAGGUCCCAGAGCUCAAGCCCAAGACUGAAAAACCAUACAGAAUUAACUCUGCACCCAGAGGUGCUGUGGGAUGUUCUGUAUGGCAAAUGUGUUGCUCUGAAUGGUCAAUAAAUAAAACACUGAUUGGCCAGUGGCUAGGCAGGAAGUAUAGGCGGGACAAGGAGGAGAAUAAAGCUGGGAAGUGGAAGGCUGAGUCAGAGACACUGCCAGCCGCCAUGAUGACAAACAGCAUGUGAAGAUGCCGGUAAGCCACGAGCCACGUGGCAAGGUAUAGAUUUAUAGAAAUGGAUUAAUUUAAGCUGUAAGAAUAGUUAGCAAGAAGCCUGGUACGGCCAUACAGUUUGUAACCAAUAUAAGUCUCUGUGUUUCCUUGGUUGGGUCUGAGCGGCUGUGGGACUGGCAGGUGAGAGAGAUUUGUCCUGACUGUGGGCCAGGCAGGAAAACCCUAGUUACACAGAGGCAAACGAAUAACUGGAGUAGUGACUGGGUGAUGGGGUCAGAUGGCAGGGUGCUUUUGAUUUUCUAGUUUUCAAGAAUGAAUGAACUUGGGCAGGUUGGUUGGCUCAGGGAGUAAGCAUGAGGGUCAGAGUUGGCAUCCACAGCAGCCACCAUCUCAAUACAGUGAAGCCCUGGUAUAAGCUGGCCAGACUAGCCAAACCUGCAAGCUCUGGGUUCAAGUGAGAGACCCUGCCUCAAUAUAUAAAUAAGGUGAACUCAAUCCAGGAAGAUACCAGAAGCCUAUUCUUGGUCUUCACUCACACACCACUCACACACUCAUACACUCACACAUACCACUCACACACCACUCACACACUCAUAUACUCAUACACUCACACACACACACACCACACUCACACACUCAUACACUCACAUACCACUCACACACACACACACCACACUCACACACUCAUACACACACACACACACUCAUACACUCACACACACACCCCACUCACACACUCAUACACACACACCCCACUCACACACUCAUAUACUCUCACACACACACCACUCACACACUCAUACACUCACACACACGCACCACUCACACUCAUACACUCACACACCACACACACACACACAUACCACUCACACAGCACACACACACACUACACUCACACACUCAUACACUCACACACACAUAUACACACUCAUACACACCGCUCACACAUUCAUACACUCACACACACAUGCACACUUAAAGAAAAAGAGAAAAACAUAGGAUGAACCUAUAGUUUGCAUUUAUGACCUAGUGUCUCUCAACGUUGCUGCUCCUCAGGGCUACGUUUGUGGUUGGUAGUUGGUUCUGGUAUUGUUUCUCUCUCUCUCUCUCUCUCUCUCUCUCUCUCUCUCUCUCUCUCUCUCUCUCUCUCUCUCUCUCUCUCUCUCUCUCUCUCUCUCCCUCCCCCUCUGACUUUAGUUCCUUUAGAUGCCCUGGAGUAUCCUAUCCUGCCAAGAACUUGGUGCUUAGCAGAAGCUCUUGUUCUUGCCUGCAUAAUAAUCUCAUCCCACGGUGUUCUCAAAAGCACCCUUGUGCUGAGCCUCCACCCCAUGAUUUCCAAUCGUUGUGGCAGCUGCUUGUGCACGGCACCCCAAGCGACAAAAAUGCAGGUAGGAUUUGGUCCAAGUAUUCCCACCUCCCUUAGCCCAGUUUCAUCCCCAUUACUAAAGGGGAACCAGCCGGGCGGUGGUGGCGCACGCCUUUAAUCCCAGCGCUCGGGAGGCAGAGAGCAAAGCUACGCAGAGAAACCCUGUCUCGAAAAACCAAAAUAAAUAAAUAAAUAAAUAAAUAAAUAAAUAAAUAAAUAAAUAAAUAAAGGGGGAACCAAAGCAAUAAGUUGUUGUUAUUAAUGCUAUUAUUGUAUUAAUGACCUUUAAAAAACCCACCUUUUCUUUAUCACCAAAGGCAGUAGGAACCACAAAUCUCAACCUCUUUUGACCCUGACAGUUCCUCUCCUGUUCCCCACACUUCCUUUAAGAACCCUCUUUCACCAUCAACCAUGCCCACGGGCGGGCAUCCCAGGGCAGCUGUGAAUGCCUGUGGCCCAGCAAAAAGUCGUAAACUGGUUUAAAGGACCGCUUUUGUUUUUCCUAACUCCUUCCUGAGGUUCUGCAGUGUGAGGCCUGCUAACCUUUAGCAGAGUCCCUGUGCCACAGUCAGAAGGUUGGGGGAGCCUGGAAGGCCUGCACUCCCGCCCGGGUUAAUCAGCCAUCCCCAGGGCCCUCUUGGAGCCAAAAGGAAAGUUCCGCGCGUCUUUAAAGCGCUCCUGGAAGUCCAGGGUAACAUUUCCUCUCAAAAGCUCUUCUCCACGGGUCCUCUGAGGGCUACACUUGAGUGAAACCCCCAAAGGAAAUUACCACUUAAAUUAGGCAGGAUGUGCAGGCUGCUGGCCUGGCCUGCUCCUCCAGGCACGCUGCGGGAGCCUGGGGCUGGCUGAGCAGAGAGCCUCCGGGCUGUGCUGGACGUGGGCUGCCAGAGCCCCAGCUGGGGAAGAGCUGAGCUGGGGAAAACGUGGGCUGAGAUGGAACUCUCUGCUCUUUCCUACCAAGACCUUCACUGAGCAGAAGGGAGUGAUACUAGGGUGGGGUGUUAAGGCCCAGACAUGACACUUUAUACCUACCCUUACAACCCUGGGAGGUGCCCCAGCCUCGCUGGCAGCCAGGCGGAGGGCUUUCUAAAAGCAAGACACUGCCCUGUCUUCUUUUCCUUUAAACGUCUGUUUGGUUGGAUUUUUUUUUCUAAUGUGAGUAUAAUUUAAGUAUCAUAAAAUUCAUCUCUUUAAAGUGUACAACUCAGCAGCUCUUAGUACAGCCAUAGGCUCAAGUGGCCAUCACAACCAAGUCUAGAACAUUCUCAGCACCACCAGCCUACUACCCAGGCUGCGCCCCCCCAACCACCACUUUUUGCUCCCUCUUGCUUUCUGCUUAGCAGCAGAAGGCCCCUAUUCCUCCCUGCCCCCAAACUCCCGGCUACUCUUCUACUGUCUGCCUCCAUGGGUCUGCCUGUUGGGAACCUUUAGCUUUUUGUGCCCAGGUCUUUUGUGCAGCAUCAUAUCCCCAAGGUUCAUCCAGCUUGUAGCAGGAGGUCCUCGGUUCCUUUUCGUUUGGAGAUAUUGCACUGUACUGAAAAAUGCUGCUGUAAAGAUUGACAUAUACCUUAAGCUGCUAUGUGUUUCUUUGAGCAUAUAACUAGGAGUGCCGUUGCCUGGUCCUGUGACAACAUGCUGUGGAGUCUUCAGAGAGGAUCUGGUUUUGCCAACCGCAGAAACCAGUCCAACCCCUGGUACUUGCACCAACAACUAGAUGAUUAAAUCAGAUGAAUGGGUGGAUGGAUGGGUGGAUGGGUAGAUGGAUGGGUGGGUGGAAGGGUGUGCUUAUGACCUUUUGCAUGUGGAAGUACUAUAUUUCCAUUAUAAAUGGGAUAUACUAUUAUUUUUAAGUAAUUGUAAUUUUCUAAUCUGAGGUCUGUGGAAAGGUUAUUAGAUGGCUGUAAUUUCAAAAAUUGUAUAUAGAGAGAGUAGUUUCAAAUAGCCAAACAAAUCUUCAUCAAAAGGAACAAAACAAGAGAUACUAAACUAUCUGGCUUCAAAAGGCAGCACAGGGCUGAAGAGAUGGCUCAGCGGGAAGGCACAUGCUGCCAAGUCUAAGAGCCUGAGUCCAAUCCCUGAACCAUGACUUAAGGAUGGGACCCGCUCCUACACAUUGUCCUCUGACCUCCACAUGCGUCCCGGCACCCAUGUGCUUCCCCACAAAACAAAUUAAAAUGUAAUAAACAGUGGUGUGUGUGUGUAAGCAUAUCUCUGUGUAUAUAUAUUACAAAGGUAUGGUGAUACAAGCCAUACAGCAGA